AGUUGAUCAUGGCUCAGGAUGAACGCUAGCUACAGGCCUAACACAUGCAAGUCGAGGGGCAGCAGAUCGAAAGCUUGCUUUGAUGCUGGCGACCGGCGAAUGGGUGAGUCACGCGUGUCCAACCUGCCCCCCGCCCGGGGAUAGCCCUUGGAAAUGAGGAUUAAGACCCGAUAGGUGGCGCUUCCGCAUGGCGGCGCCAUGAAACUGGCGAGGGAUGGGGACGCGUCGGAUUAGCUUGACGGCGGGGCAACGGCCCACCGUGGCGACGAUCCGCAGGGGUUCUGAGAGGAAGGUCCCCCACACUGGCACUGAGACACGGGCCAGACUCCUACGGGAGGCAGCAGUGAGGAAUAUUGGUCAAUGGCCGAGAGGCUGAACCAGCCAAGUAGCGUGCAGGAUGACGGCCCUACGGGUUGUAAACUGCUUUUGCGGGAGGAUAAAGUGCGCCACGCGUGGCGCUUUGCAGGUAUCCCGUGAAUAAGGACCGGCUAAUUCCGUGCCAGCAGCGGC
RNAcentral lists this ribosomal RNA (510 nucleotides) under uncultured bacterium. Its description in RNAcentral is "bacterial SSU rRNA". It matches the Rfam family "Bacterial small subunit ribosomal RNA", at positions 10 to 518 of the family's 1533-position model. The record is from RNAcentral.